AGGCCCUUGUCAAGACUUUGGCAACCAGGCAGUCGUCUGGGCAAGGUCAGCGGAGCCCUGACUUCCCCGUGCUGUGGAGGCUGCUCCUGGUGUUGGAGGAAGGCAGCUUGAAAGGGGCAAGGCUGGGAGUGGCCGCUGUGGCCUCUGGGAGGCAAGAGCCGUCCCCGCUGCCCGGCUGUGAUGUGGGCAGUCCCCAGAGGAUCUGGGGGUCCCAGAAGGGUUAGGCUGGCGUUUGGUCGUCUCUGGGCAUGUGUUUUUAAAUGUAGUGAGGUUGCAUAGUGGACUCUGUGAGUCAUGAGUUCUUUAACGCCCCCGAAGUGGUGUAAUCUCAGCAGUCGGGUUCUCAUCUUCUCGAGACCUCGUUUCCAGGGUGGUGUCGCGGGACCCUAGAGCUGGGAAGGCCCAGGUGUCCCUCUGUCCCUCCCGUGUUUGCUGAGCAUCUGCAGUGAAGGAUGAGGAUCUCGAGGCCCAGACUGCACGGCUGCAGAGGGAGUGAGCGGCAGAGGCCGGGCCUCCCACUCUGGCUCACCCCUCACCCCACCCGGCCCCCGAGAGGGGCACGGAGCCAGCCAGGGGCGUGGGAAGGCGCUUGCACCUGCCGGCCGCCUUUGACCUGCUCAGUGCUGGGCCUCAGAUGCCCGUUCACCUUUUAGCCAGGUUUCAGCCUGGAAGAAUUGAGGAAAUGCCUCUUUUUUUUUUUUUUUUUUUUUUUACUGUUUCUUGAGAUUUUUAUUAAGGUUGUCUGGAGUAUAUUCCUCUUUUAAACGUUUUUUGUUUUUUUUUUUCAAAGAAAAAGUUUCUUUGCAUCAGUUCAUCUCAGGUGGCAAAGCAUGGACUCAGCUGUAGUGGCAAAGGGUGCUCCCUCCCCUCCUCCUCUGAUCCCUGUCACACCCGGAGAACUGAGAACGGUUUACAGAUGUGCCAGCAAAGCCCCAUCUUCCCUGCCCCCGAAAGGGCUCUGCUGAGUAAUGCUGGCCGCCUUAUCUUGGGCCGGGCCUGCUGGGUCCGAGGGAGGGGAGCUCCUGCAGGAAACCUGCUCGGGAAGCCGGAAGUAAGCCAGCAGGUCUCAGCCUGCUGCCGGCCUCCGCCGCCUUCCUGGGGGAGAGUCUGGCGGGGGCAGCUCGCGGCCGCCUGCGCCCUCUCGCCGGCCGGGCCUCGGGUGGGCGUUGCGCUGGCUGCCGGAGGAGGCGUGUGACCUUUUGCAAAAGUCACUCUGACUCGGAAGAGGUUUCCACGCCACGUGCGGGUCGCCUCUUUUGUCCUCGGCUCUCCCUCUGGACAGCGGAUGACAGAGUGGCCCUGGCACCCUUGACGCCGGGAAGGACGUGAGCCCCGGAGCCGGGGAGCGCGGGCCUUUAGGGGGAAGGUCGUCCUUAAGGGUGCGCGGUGCGGCCUGUGCUCCGUUUCCUCUGCGGGCAUCCGGGCAGCGGAGAGGAAGCCGCCGGCCCGGGUGGGGCCGCAGGUCAAGCGUGCAGGGGCCUGGGCCCGGGACCCUCCCAGAGCCCCCUGCCCGGCGGGCGGAUGAGGCGGCCUGAGCUGUUGGCUGGAACUUUGCAGCCCUGGCGGCGGAGACGAACAUCCGGCCUGGCAGCGCUGCCAUACGGAGGCCAGCACUCGGAAGGGCUGAGCGGCCGUGGUCACUGCCCCCGCGGGCGCCGGCCCGGCCCGACCCCUCGCUCUCGCCCUCGCUCGGUCUCACCUGGGGACCCGACCCCGAGCGCUUGGCCUGAGCUCGCCUGCGUCCUGGGCUUCCUUUUAACGGCCUCGUCGAGGUGUACGUUCCGUGCUGUAAAGCCGCCGUGCUUCAAGCGUCCAAUUAAGUGAUUUUUUUUAGCAAAAUUACAGGGUUGCGUGACCGUCCCUGCGGCUUAGGUGGGAACGUGGCCGUCAUCCUGGAAGGGACCCUCGUGCCGUUUUCACCCUGUUCCCACCCCUCCGCGGGUGACCCCUGAUUUGUUCUCUGCCUCUGCGGAUGUGCCUGUUGUGGGCAUUUCUCGCGGCACCCGAGUGGGAUCACCGCACGUGGUCUUUCGUGGCUGGUCCACCCGGGCUGCCCCUUGUAUCUGCGGUUCCUUGGUGCCUUGAUGGUCUGUCGUGUGAUGUCCCCGUCCUCUCUCGUGACCUCUGGCUCCUUCCUGCUUUUCACUGAUCCUGGGAGGUGCUGCCGUGACCCAGCCUUUUCCAGCAGGGAGCGGCCCCUUUCUGCCCCUGUCCCGCCUGCCUUCCCUGACUGUCGUGGGCCAGGCCCUGCGACGGAGGCCAGAGUGAGGGGGCUCAGCAGGGUCGUUGGGAGGGUGCAUAGGAGUUUCCAAGGAGAAAGGAGGGGAGGUGGUGGCUCAGGAAGGAGGAACGGCAUGUGCAAAGGCACAGAGGCGCGAGCAGAGGAGCUGUUCCCGGCCGCCGCCGCCGCCGCCAGUGGCUGCCCACCACGGCCUCUUCUCCGGAUGCUGGGAAAGCUGGACUGGUGUCCGGAACUUUUGAUGGUUUGGGGGGUGCUGUUCGCUCCGUACAUGAGGGCUGGGAUCAGCUCUGAAGCCUUCGAGGGGGGUUGAGGCCGCUGCCGGGCCAUCUGGCUUGGAAAGCUGGGUGCUGGAGCCACUCCGAGGGAACACCCCCGUCAGUGUCUUUGCAGCUGACGAGGACACUGGAAACCACAUCCUGCUCUUGCCGUGGCCGUGCCUGCGGGGGCUGAGCCCCGGCACCGCGUGCUGGUCGGGAUGUCCUCCUUUGGUGGGCUGCCUCAGCCCUGGGGCCGGUCUCCUUCCCAAGCGCGACUUCGGCGUGUGGCCCCUGCUGGUAGCCGCCGGGUCCGGUCCGGAAGAGCGGGUGGCGCGUGCUGUUCCCGACUGACUUGGCUGGAGGGCCUGCCAUUCUUUGUCUUCCUUGGGUUUGUUUUCUUUUCUGCCCAGGAUUUCUCCCAGCCGGGGCGCACCCGCGGUGUCCAGGCUGUUCCCAGGGACGGAGCCUGGGAGUGCCGAGCAGGAACAGUUGCAGCUGGAAAUUAAAACAUGGAAGCUGGGGUUCCCAUCGUGGCGCAGUGGUUAACAAAUCCAACUAGGAACCAUGAGGUUGUGGGUUCAAUCCCUGGCCUCACUCCAUGGGUUAAGGAUCCGGCGUGGCCAUGAGCUGUGGUGUAGGUUGCAGGCGCGGCUUGGAUCCCGCAUCGCUGUGGCUGUGGGGUAGGCCGGUGGCUACAGCUCCGAUUCGACCCCUAGCCUGGGACUCUCCGUAUGUCGUGGGAGCGGCCCUAGAAAAGGCAAAAAGACGAAAAAUAAAAUAAAGUGUGGAAGCUUAGGGAGAAGAGGAGGUGGUUGGCGGGUGUCCUGGCCACGUGUAAACGUGGUACUGUUUGCGUGGAGCCGCGUGGCUGUGGGCCGUGGCCACGUUCCCCUUGUCGCCAGGUUUUCUGUGCUUUGAGGACGUUUCCUUUGCUGGCGCAGGAGCCGCCGUGCACUUGCCCGGGGUGGCACGUUCGUUCCGCCCCUGCGGUUGUGCGCAUCUGUCCAGGGCUGAUGUGGCGGCUGGGGCAUGGCUUAGUUCCUUUGAGCCGUUGCUGCCGGCGACUUUGGGUCGCUGCUCGUGGAGCGUUUCAGGGUGGCGUGCAGGCUCGGCGCUCCCAGGACAGACGCGGGCGAUGGUGGGAAGAGGGGCCGUCCCGCCCCCUCUCCGACCUCUAUGGUUUGGCCUGCGUCACCUGCUCUGCUGGGGCUGGGCCGCGGACCACAGAGGGACCUGGCAGCACAGGCGGCCAUGCGUGGGUUCCGGGCUGGGACAGGCUUGGGUGAGCCUUGUGCGUCAGAGGCCCCGGGGUUUCCUCCCAGCGCUCCCUGAGUGCCACGUGUGACGAGGCACUUUGUCAUAACUGGUGCCCUGAAGUGUGACCUCCGACUGGAGGGGUGGGCACGGUUGCUCCUCUGAGCAUGCAGGUGGGGGGGCAGGGACCUGGUGGGGGGGCCCAAGCCGUGUUAGUGGGGGCCUGGGGGCCUUUGAGCUGCUAGACCCAGGGAGGUGACGGAACUCACCACGUGGCUGGGUGGGGGGUGGGCUGGUUGUGUUGGAGAAAGAGCGGGGCCCUGCCCCUCCCCACACCCCAGAGGCUUCUUGGUGGCUUUUUAUUCAGGCAACGUUUUGCCCUCUGUUAGUCUCUAUUCUUUUGGGUGGGGGGACUUCCGCACACGUCAGCAGCAGGAGAGCCUUGGAAUUGGCUUCUCUGCCACCUGAACAGGAGACGCGGGGACGCAGGCCCUGAAAGCCUCACGGGUGUGGUGCAGACCACCGAGAAGAAGCCCGGCUCCAGCCAGGGCCUGGGCCAUGCGGGGCAGCCGAUGCCCGGGGCGGCGGUCUCCCGCCGGGAGCUGUUCUGCGGGGGGCUCCGUUCACGCGGACAGGUACGUCCGUGUGGUUGGUGCCCGAGGCUCUGACGCUGCCGAGAGAGAGGCAGGGGCGAGAACACGCUGCGGCGUGAGGCUGGGAAUUCGCACACACUCAGAACUUUGUACGUAUCUCCCGGCUCUGUUCCUGGACGCUCUGGGCGCGUGGAGCCUGUGGAAGGGGCCGUGUCCCCGCAGGGCUGGCCGCUGGCCGCUUGGACCCCCAGCAGAGCGCAGCCCUUGGCAGCGUGCGGGUGUGUCCCCUGUGACCCAGGGCCUGUCUUGGGUUCCCGCCGUGGACCCUGGGAGGAGCCUGCGCUGCGAGGUCAGCCCCGGGGCCGAGGCUCCAGAGAGGCCUGCCAGCACCCUGACGCUGUGGCCGCGGGUGGCAGGUGGGGUCUCGGCUUCCUCACGUGGCCGCUCCUCGCCUGGACGCUCACUGGUCUGGAGCCCGUCAUGUUCUCUUUGGUUUUAGCUGUGCCUGAGGCUCACGCACGCUCCAGGGACACCGCUCCAGAGACAGCGCUGGGUCCUUAACCCGCUGAGAUAUCAGGGAACUCCCCCUUCGCAUCUCUCAGAAUUGCUGCCCUGGAGGGUUGUGGCUGCUCAAGGUUUUACCAUGUCAGAGGUUAACAUGAAGAAACUUAAAAAAGUAUUCCUCCCCGGAGUUCCCACUGGGGUGCAGUGGGGUCAGCUGCGUCUUGGGAGCGCUGGGGGCAGGUUUGAUCCCUGGCCUGGCACAGC
Molecule: long non-coding RNA, 5114 nt
Filed under: Sus scrofa (pig)
Lineage: Eukaryota; Metazoa; Chordata; Mammalia; Artiodactyla; Suidae
Description: lncRNA (ENSSSCG00000057599.1)
Source: RNAcentral